GCCUCAGUUACGGCGAGUGAAGCGGCAAAAGCUCAAAUUUGAAAUCUGCGUAAGCCGAGUUGUAAUUUGAAGAUGGCUACUUUGGUAAUGGCUCUUGUCUAUGUUCCUUGGAACAGGACGUCACAGAGGGUGAGAAUCCCGUGCGAUGAGAUGUCCAUUACCGUGUAAAGUGCUUUCGAAGAGUCGAGUUGUUUGGGAAUGCAGCUCUAAGUGGGUGGUAAAUUCCAUCUAAAGCUAAAUAUUGGCGAGAGACCGAUAGCGAACAAGUACAGUGAUGGAAAGAUGAAAAGAACUUUGAAAAGAGAGUGAAAAAGUACGUGAAAUUGUUGAAAGGGAAGGGCUUGAGAUCAGACUUGGUAUUUUGUAUGGCUUGCUUUCGGGCGGGUCCUCUGCAGUUUACUGGGCCAGCAUCGGUUUGGGUGGCAGGAUAAUAGCAUAGGAAUGUGGCUCUACUUCGGUGGAGUGUUAUAGCCUUUGUUGAUACUGCCUGCCUAGACCGAGGACUGCGUCUUUUGACUAGGAUGCUGGCAUAAUGAUCCUAAGCCGCCCGUCUUGAAACACGGACCA
This 567-nucleotide ribosomal RNA is filed under the name Fermentozyma sake. RNAcentral describes it as "eukaryotic LSU rRNA". It matches the Rfam family "Eukaryotic large subunit ribosomal RNA", at positions 77 to 668 of the family's 3401-position model. The record is from RNAcentral. Lineage: Eukaryota; Fungi; Ascomycota; Pichiomycetes; Serinales; Debaryomycetaceae.